Non-coding RNA from Capsicum annuum, 73 nucleotides. Lineage: Eukaryota; Viridiplantae; Streptophyta; Magnoliopsida; Solanales; Solanaceae. The record is from Rfam.
GCCAGGAUAGCUUAGUUGGUAGAGCAGAGGACUAAAAAUUCUCGUGUCACCAGUUCAAAUCUAGUUCCUGGCA